AGAGUUUGAUCAUGGCUCAGAACGAACGCUGGCGGCGUGCCUAACACAUGCAAGUCGAACGCGAAAAGCAGUAAUGCUGAGUAGAGUGGCGCACGGGUGCAUAACACGUAACUGACGUGUCCUCGAAACUGGGAUAACCACUCGAAAGGGUGGCUAAUACUGGAUAAGCCCACGGCUUUGGAGCUGAGGGAAAAGGUAUGGGACCCUUUGGGGCCAUACAUUUGAGGAGCGGGUUGCGGCCCAUCAGGUAGUUGGCGGGGUAACGGCCCACCAAGCCUAAGACGGGUAGCUGGUCUGAGAGGAUGAUCAGCCACACUGGAACUGAGACACGGUCCAGACUCCUACGGGAGGCAGCAGUGGGGAAUCUUGCGCAAUGGGAGCAAUCCUGACGCAGCAACGCCGCGUGGGUGAUGAAGGUCUUCGGAUCGUAAAGCCCUGUCGGAGGGGAAGAGGCUUUGCACAGCUAACAGUGGUGCAAGGUGACGGUACCCUCAAAGGAAGCACCGGCUAACUCUGUGCCAGCAGCCGCGGUAAUAC
Molecule: ribosomal RNA, 537 nt
Filed under: uncultured bacterium
Lineage: Bacteria
Description: bacterial SSU rRNA
Rfam family: Bacterial small subunit ribosomal RNA
Source: RNAcentral